This 74-nucleotide transfer RNA is filed under the name Bacillus atrophaeus C89. RNAcentral's name for it is "tRNA-Gly". It matches the Rfam family "tRNA". From Rfam's summary of the family: Transfer RNA (tRNA) molecules are approximately 80 nucleotides in length. Lineage: Bacteria; Bacillati; Bacillota; Bacilli; Caryophanales; Bacillaceae. The record is from RNAcentral.
GCGGGGGGAGUUUAGUGGUAAAACCUCAGCCUUCCAAGCUGACGUCGUGAGUUCGAUUCUCAUCACCCGCUCCA